GCACUCGCUGGGGCAGCACAGAUACUAAAAUUGGAAUGAUACGGAGAAGAUUAGCAUGGCCCAGGGCAAGGAUGACACACAAAUUAGUGAAGUUAAAAAAAAAAAA
Molecule: small nuclear RNA, 106 nt
Organism: Cynocephalus volans (Philippine flying lemur)
Lineage: Eukaryota; Metazoa; Chordata; Mammalia; Dermoptera; Cynocephalidae
Source: RefSeq, a predicted model, not a curated record